Molecule: non-coding RNA, 30 nt
Filed under: Mus musculus (house mouse)
Lineage: Eukaryota; Metazoa; Chordata; Mammalia; Rodentia; Muridae
Source: RNAcentral
UAAUGUAGAACCACGUUCAGUGCCAACCAG